This is an RNA transcript of Gallus gallus (chicken), 12605 nucleotides long. It is a transcript of the gene named RNA polymerase III subunit G, with no coding region annotated. Lineage: Eukaryota; Metazoa; Chordata; Aves; Galliformes; Phasianidae. The record is from RefSeq and is a predicted model, not a curated record. The transcript has 3 exons.
GGCAGCCGCGGGCGGAGCGAGGCUGCGGUAACUUCAGAUGGCUGGGUCAGGUAGAGGAAGAGGACGUGCUUCAUUUACCUUCAACAUUGAAGCCAUUGGCUUCUCUAAAGGUGCAGUUCUGCCUGAUGUUGUGUGUAAGCCUCCACCGCUAUUUCCUGUAAGUAUUGAAGCUUUCUUUAGAGCUCUCGGUGUCCAGGUAAAGUGCAUUCUCUUUCAUUUAGGCAUUGCAAUGAAGUAUAAGAACAACUCUAAGAACUUUAGGUCAGUUUUCAAGUACUUCAUGUUGCUGUUAUUACUGUUUUUAUUGUUAUCUCUUCCUACCCAUUUGCUAGCAGUUGUAUCCCUCAGUAACCUAGAUAGCUUAGAGUCCUCACUGUGAUUGGGUUUUCUGGAUGCUACAGUAAUAGAAACACUGGAUUUUUGAGCUUGCCUGAAAUGAAGUUAUACAGUUAUACUAGUGUUUCAAGGUAUGAAUGUAUCUGAUUUAGAAAUUUUCUUUUGAUGCAAACACAGAACAAUUUUGGAUGAUUACCUUGUGCUUCAGUAGCCAGAAAGUGAAAAAUAAUUUGAAAACAACAGAAAGAUGUUUUAUGUAAUUAAGGAUAUUGAGAUUGGAAAUUUUGGGUGUAUUUGGAAUGUAUCAGAAAAUUAAAGGGAAAGAAAAAGUAAGUUAUUUUCCUACCAAGCUGAGUUGUGCUAUGUAGUCAAACUUGGACAGUUUUGAGGCUGAAAAGUAGUCUUGCAGUUUUAUAUGAGAACUUCCCCUUUAUAUGACAAUUUGAUCAAGGUGCAUGAAAUUUUUCUCAACACAUUAUGAUAUGAAACUAGCAAGUUUGGCAGAUAAUCAAUGCUAUUCUGAUAUUUACCUGAAUAGUUAUUUCACACAUGGUUUUGAUUUACUGAACUGGAAGUUAUGUUAAUGUUGUAGUCCACCAUUUCCCUUAUAAUUUAGAUUGCAUAACUUCAUUGAUUUUAAGUCAUCUAAAUUGUUCCUAGUGUGAUUAUUAUCUACUUGAUAGCACUGAGAUACUGAAUUAUGUGUGACUAUAGAUUCUGCAGUUACAAUCAGCAAUGGAUUUGCCUUAGAAUUAUUAAUCCCAUAUCCAGUGUAUAACCCUUAAUAUAUACUUUGGGGAAGUUAAAGAUGCUUUUUUCCAUUGAAAAAUUGAAGUAACUCAGUGGUGUAACUAGAACUGGUAAAAAUAGCAUGAAUUACUUUUAAUGGUUGGGCAGCGACCAAAAGUGUGAUCUUACAGCUGUUCACUGACUUACACUGAAAUUAUUUUAAGCAGUGAGUUGUCAGUCAUGUUUACAUAUUUCUUAUGGUCUUUUUUGUGUUCUAAUUGAUUUCCUGUAAAUGCAAUUAGCAAACCAGUUAAGGUACAUCAGCAUACCAUCAGCAUCAUGAGAGGUUUAAAAUUCUGGCCAGCUAGCAAAGAAAGAUGGAACUAGUAAACUCCAGCCGUGGGACUUAUGAUAAUGCUUUGUAGUUUGCAACCAACCACUCAGAUAUUGAUUGUGCACCACCUGUCAGGUGAGAAAAAUACAACGUAGUUACAACAUACUGAUCCCAUCACUAGCCUUAGUUUGCCAUAUAUUUUAGAAACCUUUCAUUACAUAUCUUUCCAGUUUCAGGAUUUAUAGUUCAUUUUUAUAGUUCAUACAAAAGAUCUUUGUAUCUUUUGUGGUUUCCGUGGAAAUGAGUAGGAGACCUUUCUUCCAGAGCAAUCUACACAGUUGAAAUACUGUUUUAGAAGAGGUUAGGGCCUGCUUUACUUUUACUAAAGCAGUGGUUUCUGGUUAAGUUAGGUUGGAAUGAAGAACUGUUAUUGUUAUUUAAGAAUCCUGUAAGCUUAACGUAACUAUGAAUCACUAUUUCACAAUUUUAAUAUUUUCUCCUUGAUUGCUUGAUGAAUUUUUGCAGAAAGAUACAAUAAAGUUAUGAAAAGUAUAAAUUUAAACAGUUAUGUAUUUUAGAAUAUAAUAAAGUAUACCAGCAAUGUAUUAUAAUGCAAAGUUGCAUUCUUUCAUGAUUGUGUGUGUUUAUUGUAGUUUUUUUUAGUGUUCCUGCAUAUUUGAUGGAUAUCAAAGACAUUGCAAAUAAUAAAAAUAAUUUGUACAGAGUACAGACAAUAAGCCAGUGCCUCUGAAAACAGGAGAGGAUGAAGAUUACAUGUUGGCCUUAAAACAAGAUUUUAGAGGAGCUAUGAGAAAAAUGCCAUAUUUUUUGGCAGUAGAAGAAGAUAAUGAAGGUUUGUUUGUGUGCUUUUUAUUUUUAUUUCUGUCUUUAGUAUUUAUUCCAUAAAGGGUAAUGUAGUGGAAGGCAUGUGUUGAAGAUGUGUUUAGUAUUGAUAAGAGAGAAGGAGAAAGAGCUGGAGUAAUAUGAUAGGAAUGCUCUCAUUUACAUUUACUGAAGUUGCAGGUCACCCAUACAAGUGGUGUACCUUGAAAGCAACUGCUGUGUUAAAAAAGCAAGGUAUUCUGUUUGAUAUAAAGUAAAAAACAUUAAGACUAACUAUUUGCAGUUCUUUCAAUUAUAUGAUAAUCAAUACAAACUAAAUAGGUAUUACUACAUGUUAAAAAUAUUGUAAAAAUUUUGCAUUGGAGCAAAGAAAUCCAUAGUAAAUAUAAGAUUUGAAUUCAGCUUCCAUUUUAAUUGUGUAGACAUGUACUUAAUAAAUAUUUUAGUUAAUAGCUGGACAUUCUAAAACAUGCUCUUCUAGAACAUAAUUAUUUCCCCUGAGCCCACUCAGGAAGAUUGGUAAGAUGCAGCGAAGAUCAGGGAAGACUGAGAACUCACUUGAAAUAGAAAGAUCAAGGUGAGAGUAAAUGAUUUAUUGAGGUUCGCAUCAGAAGUAGAGCUGAAUUUGAAGACAAAACUUGAUCUUACUGCAUUUGACUUGAGAAUGUCUUUUACUUACAUAUAAUUAAACAUUAACAGUCUUGUUAUUGUCUGAUAAAAAUAAACGCUCUGCUACUUGAUAUCCAUUCAUGCAUCAUUACACUUUUAAAAUCCAAGCUUCCUGGUCAGAAAACAGAGCAGGGAAGGAAGGCCACAGUCUGUUUACUUUGCUGUAGCAGAAUUUUAAACCUAGCAGCCACGGGAGCUUAUUACUGUGAGGAGUGAUUUUUUUUCACUUGUGACUUUUGCCUCUCUCUGUUAUCCUUCUAUAUUCUGAUUCUCAGUGCUAUAAACACUAAGUGCUAAUAGGAAAAGAAGAAAUAUAGCAUGUUCGGAAGUGCUGUUUGUGUCAAACUGAAGGCCCAGUCCAUGCAAUAGGCUUUCUCUAUCAAGCUUUAUUGUUUAAGAAAUCCGGAAUAGCCGAACAUUAGAUAAUCUUUCCAUUGCUAUAAUGUGAUGAUUUCAAAUAAUGAGAACGCACAUGAACUCUACAAUGUGAGGUUUAAUAUCCAUCCUGAAACCAUCAAAGUAUUUUCUAACUCUGGGUAUUCAUGGUAGAGAUAUGAUAGUUACAUAGUCUCAUUCUCUCUUGAAUGUGGGCAAAUUCUAGAGGUUUUUGAGACUGUGUGCAAUUCUUUUUUUAUUAGCUUUGAGUACAAUACUCUAAUUAAUACACAUUAUUGACUGUUCACUUGUUCUUGUACUAAAAUACUACUUACACAGAAGAAACACACUGCAGUAUGAUAAUAUAGCUUCCAGUGCUCCCUUACCCCCUUAAUUUUUUUUUAGUUUGAACACAUGUUUAGCCACAUGUCUACGGUGUUUCAGUAUCCCUUCAGACAUUUUCUGGUGACCCUGAAUUGCUACAGAGAGCAUAAAACAGUUUAAGAGCCUGGAGUUCUCACAACAGUCAGAGAUGCUGACUGUGCAGCCAGGUAAACUCUUGGUUAUGGGGCAAGGAGAACAGAAGAUCUGAUCUUCAUUUCUAAAUCCUUUUAUGAUUGUAGAAGAAAUAAAAAUUACUCUUUUUUUUAACUCAUAUAUCUUUCAUCUCUCAUGUAAACAAAUUUCAGUCUUUCCAGUUUCUUAUCUCACCAGAGGCUUUCUGUGCUCUUGAUCUGUGUCAGGCUUGAAGUUUGCUAUUUCUGUCUGAGGCACAAAACAAGAAACUGCUGUGCCUGAAAGCAUGUCUGAAUAGUUUCAAAGGAACCAGCUGCUUUGAGAAUGUUACCUCUGUUUUCCAACUUUGCCUCAUGUGGUAGUUCUUACCCCUUAACCUUUGUUUUCUGUAUCCUUCUUUCUGACUAUUAGUGCUGAGUAUGCUCUUUAAUAGAACUGCCAGCUUUGACUGUUUUUAUACAAAAAUUGGCAGUUGCAGGUAAGCAAGAACAGUGCCACUUCAAUUCUUCUCAGUGUCUCCCAGAGGAUAAGUUAGUGUCUUGCCAUAACUCCCCACUGAACCUUUAGCUACAGAAAAAUACCUCUGUUUCAGUGGUUUAGUAUGGUUACAUCAGUGGUUGUCUGCAGCUUAAAUAGCUUGUUUUCAUUUAAUUAUUCUGAACUGAUCUUUUCAGUAAUGUGGUUUACAACUCUUUUCUUCCCUGUAUUUCAUCUAAACAUCUGGUAGGAUUACAGGAGAGGCAGAAGUGGGGACUGUUGGCAGAAAUUUCUUAGAUUGGCUUUGCUGCAAGAGCAAAUGAAUUCUUUUAGACUAUCAGCACAACAUCUGUGAGCCAAAUGGUCAUUUGAAGAGUGAGAGGGGAAACAUUUUAAUUAGUUAGGACCAGCUGUCUGUCUUUCUUUCAUUAUUCGCGUAGUGAAAGAAAGUCAUGUAUAAUAGUACCUGGCAAUUUUGAUGCAUUAGUAUACCAUAUAUAGAUUUUCAUCAUUCAUUUCAAACUAAUUUUGAGCAAGUGGUAGGUGUGUUCUCCAAGUUCUCUGUUUUCUUUACUUCCUAAGCUAUGAAUCAUUCAUAUUAUUCCUGCAGGUAUAUCUGCUGUGACUGGGUGACUGUCACCUUGGCAGUGGUUUGGAAUUAAUUCAUCAAUUGUGAGUGGCAAGUCAGGCAGGCACAUGUUUUUUUACUGAUGGCAUCAGCAAUUAAUUCUUCACUAAAGAUCAUCAAGCUGGAAUCAAAACUACUAGUGUCUUUCCCCAUGUUGCUGACAGUUUCAGACAACAUCUAUGAAAGCCACCUAUAUUAAGUGCCCCUUCAGACACUGUCAUUUUAGAUACAAGCUUUUUGUUGCUCGGUUUUAAGUAGGUCUUCAGCUGCCUUUACCACAGCUAAGUUUAAAAUUGAGUUUAAUUUCUGAUAUCGUCUUUUUCCACACUUUUCUACAGUGAGUAUGUUAGAAGUCUUCUACUGCAUAGAUCACAGUCUGUUUUUCACUUUUUGUACAGGACUCACAAAAAUAAUUCCUGUUUGAGUAAUGAGAUGUUACUACAAUCAGAAUAAAUAAUUUUGUGUUGUGGAUGUUGCAAUUGGGCAUGGUGAUUUGAAAAGAAAAAAUGAGACUGGUUAAAAAUAGUUUUCUCAUUAAAGGUUGUGCAAGGUUAUUUUUUUCCAGGAUGAAUCCAUAUACCUGUACUGUAUAACUACUGUGCUAUUUAUACUGCAUUUUUCAAUUUAUUUAUUGUGCCUAGACUGAGGAAAAAUGGACAAAAACAUAUUGUUUCUGUUUCAGAAACAUCUUGCUAUAACACAAAGGUUUGGCAUUGCAGAAGUACUCGAAGCCCUGGGACUUGGUGAUGAUCAGUCAUUCAGAGAUGACUUCUGAGGCCUUCUGAGACCUUCUAAUUCUGGAUGCUUCCAGGCCUUCUGAGUCCUAGGAAUUUUGGAUGCUUAUUAGGAUUGACAAUAUAUGCCAUUAAUUUUAUUUUUUUCAAUCACAAAAUGACAGGAGGGUUGAGGCUGUCAUGGGUCCAUCUGUCCCAACCUCUGCUCCAGCAGGAGCACCCAGAGCGGAUUACCCAGGUCCAUGUCCAGGAGGCUUCUGCAGAUCUACAAGGAGGAGACUCCAUAGCCUUUCUGGGCAGCCUGUGCCAGCGCUCCAUCACCCAAACAGCACGGGAGUACUGCUUGAUGGUCAGAGUGAACUUCCUGUGUUCUAGAUUGUGUCCAUUGCCUUUUGUCCUGGCACUGGGUACCACUGAAAAGAGCCUGGAUCCAUCCUCUUUGCACUCUCCCUUCAGGUAUUUGUGGACAAGAUGGAUGAGAUCCCCCUGAGCCUCCGUUUCUCCAGGUUGAGCAGUCACAGCUUUUUCAGCCUCUCCUCAAAGGAGUGGUGCUGCUGUACUUCAACAUUUUUGUAACCCUAUGUUGGACUCACUCCAGUAUAUCCAGAUCUCUCUUUUACUGGGGGAGCCAAGAACUGGACAAAGGACUCCAGGUGUGGUCUCACCUAUACUAGUAGACCUGCUGACAACACUUUGCCUGAUGCAGUCCAGAUUACCACUGGCAUUAGCAGCAAAGGGGCAUUGCUGGCUCAUGUUCAGGUUGGCUCAGCUAUCAGGAUCCCUGAUCCUUCCCUGCAGAGUUGCUUCCAGCUGAGUGCCACUAGCAUGUCCUGGUGCCUGGGGUUGUUCUUCCCCAGGUGCAGGACUUUGCGCUUCUGCUUGUUGAACUUGACAAGGUUCCUGCCAGCCAGAAUCUCCAGCUUGUCCAGGUACAGAACAGAAUUCUGAGUUGGAAGGGACCUAUAAGGAUCAUCAUGUUCACGUCUUGGCUCCUUACAGGAUGACCUGAAAUUCAAACCCUAUGUCUAAGAGCACUGUCCAUAUGCUUCUGAAACUCUGGCAGCUUGGUGCAUUGACCCUGGGGAGUCUGUUCCAGUGCCUGACCACCUUCCCAGCAAGGAACCUCUUCCUAACACUCAGUCUGACUCUCCUUUAAUACACAGUCUGACUCUCAUUUAACACAGCUUCAUAUUUACUGCAUUCAACUCUGGGAUCCCCAGCACAAGAAAGAUGUGGAUCUGUUGGAGCAAGUUCAGAGAAGGCCACAAGAAUGCUUGGAGGGCUUUUCUAUGAAAAAAUGGUGAGGGAAAUGGUCUUGUUUAGCCUGGAGAAGAGAAGGCUUCAGGGAGACCUGUGAGGGUGAGAAGCUUUGACACAGGUUGCCCAAAGAAGCUGUGGAUGGCCCAUCUCUGAAGGUGUUCAAGGGCAGAUUGGAUGAGGCUCUAAGCAACCUGGACUAGUGGGAAAUGUCCCUGCCAGUGGCAGGAUGUUGGAACUGGAUGGUCUUUAAAUUUCUUUCAAGCUGAAACCAUGCUACGAUUCUGCUAUUCUCCUAGGUCCUAUUUCUGAGGGAUCAUUGCUCUGUUAUGAGGAAGCUAUAGACCAGAUCCCCCUGGAUGGCUGCACAACCCCCUGGUCCAUCUGCCACUUCCAUACUUUUGUGUCAUCAGCACACUGCUAAGGAUGUACUCUGCCAUCACCCAGAUCAUUAAUAAAGAUGUUAGACAGGACAUGGACCCAGUGUUGGCCCCUGGGUCUCCAGCUGGGCUUUGUACCACAGAUCAUCACUCUGUGGUGCAGCUGUUGAGCCAAUUAUCAGUCCACCUCUCUGCUUGCCCUUCCAGCCCGUACAUGGACAACCAGGUGGACAAGAAUGGCAUUCCCUUGGUGGAAAGGAGAUACCUUCAAAAUGGGGAGCAAUAUUCUUUCUGUUUUUUGCUAUAUAGUUAUUUAUUGUUUUUGGUUUUGAGACCUAAGGUUAUAAAAUCCAGGUUUUUUGAGUACUUACCAUAUGAUUAGUCCUAGGAAUUACCGUGAAAACUGUUAUGAAACUGUUCUUAAGUGUUGUACAACAGUGCAAGAAAGUGCUUCAUGUGGGGUAAAGAGGUUAUACUAUAGGUUUAAUUACAGGAAAAUACCCAAAACACUGGAUUGUCUCUAUAAUGGAUUCAAAAAAUCUUUGCAUCUUUCUCUACAGCAAUUGAAAGGUACAGUAAAAAGUACAUGGAUGAUGAAAAGGAGCACGCAACAUGGACCCCAGGUAAUACCUGAGAAUACCAAAGGCUAUUUUGGUAUUAGCCUGGGUAAUCUGUUCUUCUGAAAUGUUUGAUUCCAAAUUUUUAAAGUAAUAAAAUAGUACAUACAUCCUUACCAAGGCAUGUAUUCUUUGUUGAGGGUUAUGCCCUUUUCAUGUUUUCAGGUCAAAGGGAAGUACUGUUCUGUCUUGAAAAGAAUAAAUAAAUAUGAUUGUAGUUUUUUCUCAUUCAAAACAACUAAUUCUCAGCAAAAAUGCAAGCUUGAUCUCUAUAGCUUUCCCUCUUUGUUAUUUCCCAUGCACAUACCAGUUUUAAACUGGGAGAAGAUAUAAAAGUUACGUACUAAAAAACUCCACCAAUAUGGUUUCUCAGUCACUGGUAGAUUGAUUUUAUGACACUAAAUUUUCACAGAUAUAUAUGAAUAGAUCAGUACUGAAGGCUUGAUGAUACUAUGCAACUUAAGGGCAUCUGGGACAGUGGAAGGGCUGAAUUUUGUCUGACUGAGCUAGAUGCCAGUUUUCAUGAAGUGGGUAAAAUGCUGGUCCUCGUUAUACUUCGUCACCCAAAGUACAGCUAAAAUUCAGCAAUACCGUUGGGAUUCAACAAAAUUGUUGGGUGCUGAAACAAUUAGACGUAUAAACCCUAUAUGACCUCAUAUGACAAUUAGACUUAUAUGUCAUGGAAUCAAGCCCGGCAGAGGCAGUCUUGCUGAGUGAGAGGAGGAGGAUUACUGCUGUAAAUCAUUGUUUAGAAGUAUUAAAGCUAUUUUCUGUACAGAUUGGAGAAGACUCCCAAGAGAGAUGAAGCCCAGGAAAAAGAUGAAAAAAGGUAGAUUAUGUAUUUUUAAAGAUUUUAAAAGAUUUUGUAAGAAGACAUGCUAGAGCUGGAUAGAGUUAGAUAGAUGUAAUAAAUAGCGCUUUUGAUAGAUUAUUUUCUACAUAAUUGAGUAAACUGACUGGCUUUUAAUAAUUUGCUAGCUGCUUUUGUGUAAUAUUGGAAGAUUAAAAAUGCAAAAAAUCUUUUUGUUUUGCAGUCUAUCUUCUAUUCAACAAAUAGCUAGCUGUUCAGAUUUUCCUCAAAUUUUGGGUUUCUCAAUUAAAUUGUAUAUUAUUUGGUUGACUUGUAUUUUUUAGGUCUUUUGUAUGUAAUUUAAUGUAGGUUAUUUUCUGUUUCUCUGGUUUUACUUUUUUUGUUUAUUUUCAGCUUUCUUCUGCAGAAUUGUGAACCAGAUCCUUCAACAGCAGUUGGAGCUGGUAUUGGUUGCUCUUUAAGGAAAAGAAAUAUUUUUAUUGCACAGCAUCAAAAGUGUAUUCAUUUUUAAAAGUGUUUUCUAGUAUGCAUGACUAUUAUUUUUAGUUCUCUAUAGAAGUCUGUUGCUUUGUUGAUGUGAAACAACACUUGGCCUCCUGUAGCUAGCUGUCUGUUACAUACAAUUGUUUACUUUCUCGCUCUCUUUGUCCAAGUCCUUCAUAUGUCAUUUUUCAGUUCAAGGAUAAAAUAGAAAAAGGAAAGGGAAUGUGCAGUAGUCAUGGAGACUGGCUCAGCUGGAAGCUUUUUUUCUUUUAAGAGUGUCAUUGAGAAGCAUGGUAAUAAAGGUAGACAUCAAGAUUCAGUUGAAAUUAACUACUUAUUUGCAAAAUCCCUCAAGAAGAAAUGAGUACAUAUCUAUUUUCUUUUUUAAAAAAAGAAGAAGUUGCAUUGGCUUUUGGAAGCCUACAGGCAAUAAUAAACUCCCCGAGAUUCCGCGAAAUCAUAAAUGCCAAUCCAAUAUCCCUUUGAUAUACUAACAUUCUAAUUAUCACAAAGUAUCACUGAUCAGUGUGUUCUUUAUAUCCACUGUCUUUUGUGCAUGUUUCUCAAUUGCUCUUAAAAGUACAUUUUCUUACAUAAUUGUAACAGCAAAGAUCAGCUGACCACCCAGAUUUGAUUGGGUAAAACACCUGUUUCUCUAAAAGCAAAAAUCAGGAGGUUUCAGGUUUUUUUUUGAGGGGAAUCUUGGUGACAUGGAGAUCAUACGAAAGUCAUGUUACUUUUUGUUUUAAUGACAGCCAAGUUAGGUGACACUUCAUAACUGAGUGGAACAAAGGUGAAGGAGUGAAGGGAAUUUUAUCUGCACUGAUACACAGACAGGUUUCCUACAAUUCUAUCAUCAAAGAUCGCAGGAGUGGUUUCUGGGUCAGUACACAGGUAUACAUACAGGGCUGGCUUCAUUUUGACCCCCUUUGUGACUCCCCUGAGUGUUUUAACUUAACACCUGGCCAUGUCUUUUACUGACGUAACUUUAGGUAGGGUUUCAUAUGUCUCCCACACUUAGGCUGGGCUGUGCACCACAAUAUCUGAAAUAUCAGCAGUGCCUCCAAAAACAAUAACCCCAAAUAAAUUUUUUUAAAAAAAGAAAAAAACACACAAGCAGUAAGCUGACUGGCUUCAGCUCCUGUGGGUCAGCUGUACGCAUAAGUAGACAGCAAUCAGAUUUACUCAUGUAAGCCAAAGAACAGCAGUUUAAAAGAAAAUAGAUUGUAUUGCCUUGCAUCUCAAAGAAACAUGGGUAUAAAGAGCUAUUUUUCUUACAGUUCUACAUUCAAAUGGUGAUCCCGUGUCUGUAAUAUUACAGUUAGUUCCAGAGAUUCCCACCAUUUAGUGAAGGCUUUUGCAUACCUUUUUUGACUUCCAAGCUGUUUAUAGACAUUAUCUCUAAAAGUCUGCAGGUGUUUGUGCAGAGAUGAUCAUUUUGAAUCACACUUGUUUACUCUAAAGGCCUCCUUCAUUCUGGUUGUGUUUGCUUGGACGUAUGUUCACACAUUAUUACAGAGCAGCUUGACUUCCCUCAGCUAUGUGUGGUGCUUUUGUUGUUUAAACUCUUCCUAGGCAAAGUACUGAAAUGAACAGAGUGUUAUUUACGACAAAUGCUUUUAAGAAAAUGCAGUUAUUUUCUUAGCAACUUCUAGUGCUCUGUUUCCUUAGCUAUUGGGCCAAAUAAAAUACAUACCACUUUGGACUACUGCCUGCUCCAGAAAAGCUAUCUCCUCCUUCCAUCAGCACAAAUUUUCUUUCUCAAAAAACUUAGUGUACUGUAGUGUUAAAAAAACAAAAAACAAACAAACAAACAAAAAAAGGAUGCAUGUUGCAUAACUACCUGGUCUGUAGCUGCCUGGUCAUCAGAGGCUGUGUAACUACGCCAGUGUGGAACUUACCCGGGCACCAGGCAGUUUUACUUUGCAGAGAAGAGCCAUUGUGUUAGGUACAACCCUAAGGUGUAAGUUUAAUGCAGGGCUGCAUGGCACAGCAAGAGAGUGGAAAGACAGGUAUAUCAUGGAAACAGGACAUCUCUAGCUUUGCUAUAAUAUUUCUCAGCCCAGAGCUCUUUGUUUCUGCUGGUCAAACUGCACUCCUGGAACUGAGACAGGUGUUGCCAAGCUUAAAGUGCUUCAAUUCAGAUGCCUCUUACCUGGUUAUGGAGUCAUACUUUCAACCUUUACACCGCCAUAUAAUUCAGUAGGAUGAGGAUGAAUUGUAGGGAGUAACUUGAUAAAGGCUGUGUCCACGUAAGCGUCAUUUCUGGUCCAAAAGCCAUUUAACUGCAGUAACCUCAUUACCCCAGGGAAGCUCACAAACUCUUCUGUCUGCCUUUUUUUUUUUUUUCACUUUUUAAAAAAUACCUGUCUGAAAUGCCCUGCUGUCAUUAUUUUGUACAUACGUUUUAUCUCUUUAGAUGUUAAAAAAUGACAACAUAUUUGUGGAUUUUUUUUUCCUAAUGUCUUAAUUUACUGGGGGUAAGUGAAAAGCAUUUUGUGAAGCUGAAUGCUGUAGUUUGAUCAAACUUUCCAUCAGAUAUCUGUGUAAAAUGAACUUCAAUCUGGCCCUGUAGACAUCACUUAGAUGAAUCAGGCCAUUAUUCCUCUAUGGCUGAUGUAGCUCAGAGCUGAAGUAAUUUUAGUACAGAGAGUACAGAAUUUUCAUGGCAGUUACUACUCUUAAGAUAGAAGCUCUUAAAAGCAAAUAAAAGGAUUCCUGUUAUUUUAAAUACAAGAAAAAAUAAUAGCUAUGUACUUUAUUUCAGCAGGUGCAAAACCAAAAAAGGCAAAGAAUUCUGAGCCUAAAAGUAACUUGGAUGUGUUGAAAAAAAUUGAGCACUUCACUGACAUUGGAAUAAACCCAUUAGUAAGAUGAGAGCAAAUACACAGAGAGAAGGAGUAUUCAGGAGGAAAGUGACUGUGAUUUUGGUGCUGACUACCCACCAUGUGGAAAUGGAAAGCUGAAAGGUGAAAUAGCUCCAUAUUGUUUUCUUGAUGAUAUGUUGCUCCAAGAGUGGGUGGUAAAGGGAAUGAAUCAUUUCAAUUUAUCAUACAAGACAUGGUUUUUUUUGACUUGAAGCCUGAUGACUUACACUCAAUAAAAAAAAGUUCUUAUAACGUUCUAGCAUUUCACAUCACGUUGUCCUAAGAUAUUGACAAAAAAUAUUUGUACAAUAUUGUUAGGCUACUCAUCUUGCUAUUAACUGCAGUAUAACACUUUGGUUGUGAGGAGAGUAUACUGUUGCUGUAAUGUUGGAUUACCGUGUAAAUGAAAAUGUCUUCUGACAGGAGUUGGAAAAGAAGGAUGAUGAAGAAGAAAAAUCUGACGAUGAGAAAGACAGAAUGAAAGAUAAAGAAGGUGAAGAUGAUGAAGAAGCCGAAGAACCAGAGGAAUAUGAUGAAGAGGAACAUGAA